Molecule: ribosomal RNA, 368 nt
Filed under: uncultured organism
Description: bacterial SSU rRNA
Rfam family: Bacterial small subunit ribosomal RNA
Source: RNAcentral
CGGAGGGUGCAAGCGUUAUCCGGAAUCAUUGGGUUUAAAGGGUCCGCAGGCGGAUUUAUAAGUCAGUGGUGAAAGCCUACAGCUCAACUGUAGAACUGCCAUUGAUACUGUAAGUCUUGAAUUUGGUCAAAGUGGGCGGAAUAUGACAUGUAGCGGUGAAAUGCUUAGAUAUGUCAUAGAACACCGAUAGCGAAGGCAGCUCACUAGGCCAGUAUUGACGCUCAUGGACGAAAGCGUGGGGAGCAAACAGGAUUAGAUACCCUGGUAGUCCACGCCGUAAACUAUCAAUACUCGUUUUCAGCGAUAUACAGUUGGAGACUAAGCGAAAGUGAUAAGUAUUGCACCUGGGGAGUACGAUCGCAAGGUUG